GUUAGGGUUAGGGUUAGGGUUAGGGUUAGGGUUAGGGUUAGGGUUAGGGUUAGGGUUAGGGUUAGGGUUAGGGUUAGGGUUAGGGUUAGGGUUAGGCAACGGGUUAGGCAACGGGUUAGGGUUAGGGUUAGGGUUAGGGUUAGGGUUAGGCAACGGGUUAGGCAACGGGUUAGGCAACGGGUUAGGCAACGGGUUAGGCAACGGGUUAGGCAACGGGUUAGGCAACGGGUUAGGGUUAGGGUUAGGGUUAGGGUUAGGGUUAGGGUUAGGGUUAGGGUUAGGGUUAGGGUUAGGGUUAGGGUUAGGGUUAGGGUUAGGGUUAGGGUUAGGGUUAGGGUUAGGGUUAGGGUUAGGGUUAGGGUUAGGGUUAGGGUUAGGGUUAGGGUUAGGGUUAGGGUUAGGGUUAGGGUUAGGGUUAGGGUUAGGGUAAGGGUUAGGGUUAGGGUUAGGGUUAGGGUUAGGGUUAGGGUUAGGGUUAGGGUUAGGGUUAGGGUUAGGGGUAGGGUUAGGGUAGGGGUUAGGGUUAGGGUUAGGGUUAGGGUUAGGGUUAGGGUUAGGGUUAGGGUUAGGGUUAGGGUUAGGGUUAGGGUUAGGGUUAGGGUUAGGGUUAGG
RNAcentral lists this long non-coding RNA (612 nucleotides) under Gallus gallus (chicken). RNAcentral's name for it is "lncRNA (ENSGALG00010007606.1)". The record is from RNAcentral. Lineage: Eukaryota; Metazoa; Chordata; Aves; Galliformes; Phasianidae.